UCCAGCUCAGUAAAUAAAUAAUCAACAUAAUCUAUAUCACAUACACUUAAUACAAUUUCCACCCAAUCACAUAACUUUCCAUGAUAUUCAUAGUUUAGGUAUAAAGUCAUACCAUUCUAUUAAAUUCAUUACAACCAUCAUAGAAGGAAUACAAUUCAACAAUUAUGGUUAGUUCUCACGGCUUGUGGAUCUCCUUUAAUGUGCUGCUCCACCUCAUCCU
RNAcentral lists this long non-coding RNA (220 nucleotides) under Ricinus communis (castor bean). RNAcentral describes it as "long non-coding RNA (RCOM_LNC001592)". The record is from RNAcentral. Lineage: Eukaryota; Viridiplantae; Streptophyta; Magnoliopsida; Malpighiales; Euphorbiaceae.